RNAcentral lists this unclassified non-coding RNA (749 nucleotides) under Hevea brasiliensis (rubber tree). The record is from RNAcentral. Lineage: Eukaryota; Viridiplantae; Streptophyta; Magnoliopsida; Malpighiales; Euphorbiaceae.
UAUAAAACCACUACAAAACCUGAUUAUUACCAUUACCAAGUGCCAAUCACACCUCUCUAACCCUUCUCCCUACAAAUUGAAGUAUUCAAAGGUAAUUUUUAACAUGAAGGGAGAAAUUAUCGCAUGGUUAUUCUUCAUCAUUUUUUUUAAGGCCCUUCCAUAUUGUGCAUGUGAAAUUUCUAUCACCCCACAGCAGCACCUACCCAUGACUAGGGCAAAACAGCUCAAGGGUAAGUUUUUAUCUAUCUUUUUCCUUUAUAAUAAAGAAAACGAGUUACUUACCAAUUAGUUUUAGGUCAGUGUUAUUAGACUCAUCUCUAGUACUAUAAGGUUUUGAGUUUGAGUUACAGUUGGAAAAAAAAAAAAAAGUUGAGUAGUAAAUGUGUGACAUUAUUUAUAACUAUUUGAUGACAUGUAUACUUGUGAGAUAAAAUUCAACAUAGUCUUGUGCUUGCAGAAGUAUAUGAAUCAAUUGCCAGAUUGAGAAGCAAAGACUAUCCAAGAACACUAGAGAGAAAGGGUUUGCAUGAAGUUGAUGCAAAGAGCUUCCAAAAGUUAGCAAAAGGAGUUUAUGGUGGUGCAGAUGUUCUUCGUCCUCGAUCUAAAUCCAAAAAUGGAGCUACUUCUUUGCACAUGAAAUCCUCUGCCCUCUUCUCAGCAACACUUGGGUUGAUAAUUUAUGUUGUCUUCUUUUGAUUGUUAAUUGGAAGGGGCGACUUCUUUGGGAUACGAUUAAGAAGCAACUUAAU